Molecule: ribosomal RNA, 253 nt
Filed under: uncultured bacterium
Lineage: Bacteria
Description: partial 16S ribosomal RNA
Rfam family: Bacterial small subunit ribosomal RNA
Source: RNAcentral
UACGUAGGGGGCAAGCGUUGUCCGGAAUCAUUGGGCGUAAAGAGCGUGUAGGCGGUUCGGUAAGUCCGCUGUGAAAGUCCAGGGCUCAAUUCUGGAAAGCCGGUGGAAACUGUCGAGCUAGAGUCCGGAAGAGGCGAGUGGAAUUCCUGGUGUAGCGGUGAAAUGCGCAGAUAUCAGGAGGAACACCAAUGGCGAAGGCAGCUCGCUGGGACGGUACUGACGCUGAGACGCGAAAGCGUGGGGAGCAAACAGG